AUUCCUCUCAACAAAACUGAGGUUUAUUUCUUUACUGUAAUUAACCCAUAAAUCCCCAAAUGACAAAUACAGAAAAGCAAUAAAUGAUGCAAACCCAAUAAUUGGAUAAAACAAACCAUUUCCUGCUAACAUUCUGUUCAUAGAUGAUUUAACCAUCACCACUAAAACAACAACCCCACUAGUAUUCAAGAAUCCUUUUGAAGUUCAACAACCAUAAAAAUACUAACUUUAACCUCUAAAUCUAAGAUUUUG
Molecule: unclassified non-coding RNA, 252 nt
Filed under: Hevea brasiliensis (rubber tree)
Lineage: Eukaryota; Viridiplantae; Streptophyta; Magnoliopsida; Malpighiales; Euphorbiaceae
Source: RNAcentral